RNAcentral lists this ribosomal RNA (498 nucleotides) under uncultured bacterium. Its description in RNAcentral is "partial 16S ribosomal RNA". It matches the Rfam family "Bacterial small subunit ribosomal RNA", at positions 899 to 1397 of the family's 1533-position model. The record is from RNAcentral.
ACUCAAAGGAAUAGACGGGGGCCCGCACAAGCGGUGGAGCAUGUGGUUUAAUUCGACGCAACGCGAAGAACCUUACCUGGGCUCGAACGGUGCCUGAAACUCUCUGGAAACAGGGGGCCUCCCGCAAGGGACGGGUAUCGAGGUGCUGCAUGGCUGUCGUCAGCUCGUGUCGUGAGAUGUUGGGUUAAGUCCCGCAACGAGCGCAACCCUUGUCCUGUGUUGCCAACCGAAAGGUGCACUCUCAGGAGACCGCCAGCGAUAAGCUGGAGGAAGGUGGGGAUGACGUCAAGUCAUCAUGGCCUUUAUGUCCAGGGCUACACACGUGCUACAAUGGGCGGUACAGACCGCUGCAAACCCGCGAGGGGGAGCAAAUCGGAAAAAACCGUUCUCAGUUCGGAUUGCAGGCUGCAACUCGCCUGCAUGAAGCUGGAAUCGCUAGUAAUGGCGUAUCAGAACGACGCCGUGAAUACGUUCCCGGGCCUUGUACACACCGCCCGU